RNAcentral lists this ribosomal RNA (2277 nucleotides) under Triticum aestivum (bread wheat). RNAcentral describes it as "partial small subunit ribosomal RNA". The record is from RNAcentral. Lineage: Eukaryota; Viridiplantae; Streptophyta; Magnoliopsida; Poales; Poaceae.
AUGGCCGCCGCCGCCGCCCGCACCGGCCUCCCACCGGCGGAUCACGAUCCGCUCGAGGGGGCAGAAUCGGAGUCGGAGGAGGAGGUGGAGAGCGGCGAGGAGCGAGGCGAUGAUGGGUCGGAGGCUGAGACCCUCGCCGACCUCUACGGCCCCGACGCGGGGUCCGACAAGGACCCCUCCUUCGACCCCGCCGCCGACAAGCGGGCGGUGGGGGAGGCCGCGCUGUGGUCCAGGAUGGCCCGGCUGUCCAUCUCCGCGCGCAAGGGCAGGAAAGCACCCGUGGCGCUAGAGAUGGGAAAUGAGGAUAUUGAUCUUUUGGCGAUGGUGGACAAGCUGAUGCACGAUGGCCAGUUGGAGAAAUUGAAGGUUUAUGAAUGCAAAGCAUACCUGAGGAUUCACAAGUUGAGAUUGGGAGGCAAGAAAGAAGAGCUUCUAAAUCGUAUCAGGGAUCACAUUGAGGUUAAAUUGUUUGGAGAUGUGAAGUAUCCAGUGUCAAGCUUUGUUCUGAACUGUAAAGGUGAUGCAUGCAAAGGUGAUGUGGUGAUGUUUGAGCAAAAUAUUUACAGAAGGAAAAAGGGAGAUCCUCGUGGAAUCAAGGGUCGUCUAUGCGGUCAGAGGACAAAUGCUGGUAGAAUAAUCAAAGAAAGCUAUGGCACUGCAAAGCAACAGCAUACAUUCACUGUUGAGAUUUUCUGGAGUAAAGGGUACAAACCAUGGCCUCCCCUUCAUCCUCUCCUCAUAAAGGGAAGAAAUCUUUACAAGGAUAAGACCAUGAGACAGCCAUGGCCUGAUGAAAAGGAAAGAAGCAGAGUCCUGGAAGAAAAACAUGCAAGAGGGUUCCAGGCACGUAAGUCAAGGGAGGUCAGGAUUCAUGAGAAAGAGAUUGACAAGAUGAGGAGAUUUAAUAGGCUUAAAGACAACAAGAGCAAAGGGAAAGAGAACAUGAAUGAAAUAUCAUCUCAAACUGUUGUUCCACAACAGAAGGUUGUGUCCACGAAUCCUGUUGAUCAAAGAUUCAAUGAAGGGAGGAGUGAUUCCCUCCAACAAGGUGAACCUUGGAACGCAAGGCAGCAGCAGAUAUCUUCAAAACAAAAUCCUGCAGUUCAUUUGUUUCAUCAGCAGUUCCUCUAUCAGGGUCCUUCCGUCCAACAUGGCAAACCAGAGAAAACAAGGCAGCAGCAAAUACUGUCAAGGCCCACCACUUCAGAGCAAAUUUUCAAGCACCCAACGCAACACGACAAUCAUAGGCCUACUCCUGCACAGCAAAUGUUCAAGAACCCACAGGAACACAAUAAUCAUCAUCAGCAGCAAAAUAAAGUGCUUCCGCAGGAGGGUACAACAAAAACUGUCAGCAUACUUGGUCGGGCCCCUUGCCUUCAUUAUGGAGGACCAGGGAAUGCAGUUCAACAGCAGAAAUUAUCAAAGCCAACUCCUAUGGAGCAGAUCAGAAACCAGUCACAGCCCCUCAAACAUGAGCACCGCAAUUUAGUGCUUCCACAGGAGGAUGCAAAGAAGGGAACCAACAGAGUACAUUCCAUUGAUCACGGCAAGGCCCCUUGCCUUCAGUAUGCGGGACCAGGGAACGCAAUGCAGCAGCAAUCAGCAAGGCCAGCACUUCCACAGCAGAUAAAAAAUCCACCACAGUAUGCGGGACCAGGGAACGCAAUGCAGCAGCAAUCAUCAAGGCCAGCACUUCCACAGCAGAUCAAAAAUCCACCACAGCCCCCCAAACAUCAACACACUGAAGUGCUUCGGCAGGAGGAUGGAAAUAGAACUUACAGAGUAGAGCCCGUUGAUCGUCGGAAUAACAAUUACCAUAACACAACGUAUGACGAAUCAGCAUUCCAGGGUCGUGGGACUCAGCAUGCAAAGACACACCAGCAUGGCUCCAACGGCCAUCCACAUGCUCACGGUGAUAGCCAAUGGCAUCAACCUCUCAGGCCUAGAAUUCAGGAUUUCUCUUCAAGAAACCAAGAAGGGGAUUAUCGCGAUCAUAGGCAAACGACUCAAGAGCAGUACAAUCCUGAGGAGAGAUAUCAUCACAAUCAGUAUGGUCGCGGGCAAAUGAUUCAGGACCAGUAUCAGCCCCAAAAGAUCCAUCAUCAGAAUGGGCACGAUAGCUGGAGAAUGAACCACAACCAGUAUCAUCCCCAGGAGAACCAUCAUCAGAAUUACCGGCACGCCCAGCAGUUUCCAGCACUGAAGAUCUGCCGCUACUACCAACAAGGUUUGCGGUGCCCCUAUGAGGGAGACUGCAAGUUUUCUCAUGGCAGCUGA